CAGGCCUAACACAUGCAAGUCGAGCGGUAACAGGGGGUGCUUGCACCCCGCUGACGAGCGGCGGACGGGUGAGUAAUGCAUAGGAAUCUGCCCGAUAGUGGGGGAUAACCUGGGGAAACCCAGGCUAAUACCGCAUACGUCCUACGGGAGAAAGGGGGCUUCGGCUCCCGCUAUCGGAUGAGCCUAUGUCGGAUUAGCUAGUUGGUGAGGUAAAGGCUCACCAAGGCGACGAUCCGUAGCUGGUCUGAGAGGAUGAUCAGCCACAUCGGGACUGAGACACGGCCCGAACUCCUACGGGAGGCAGCAGUGGGGAAUAUUGGACAAUGGGGGGAACCCUGAUCCAGCCAUGCCGCGUGUGUGAAGAAGGCCCUCGGGUUGUAAAGCACUUUCAGUGAGGAAGAACGCCUGGUGGUUAAUACCCAUCAGGAAAGACAUCACUCACAGAAGAAGCACCGGCUAACUCCGUGCCAGCAGCCGCGGUAAUACGGAGGGUGCGAGCGUUAAUCGGAAUUACUGGGCGUAAAGCGCGCGUAGGUGGCUUGAUAAGCCGGUUGUGAAAGCCCCGGGCUCAACCUGGGAACGGCAUCCGGAACUGUCAAGCUAGAGUGCAGGAGAGGAAGGUAGAAUUCCCGGUGUAGCGGUGAAAUGCGUAGAGAUCGGGAGGAAUACCAGUGGCGAAGGCGGNCUUCUGGACUGACACUGACACUUGAGGUGCGAAAGCGUGGGGUAGCAAACAGGAUUAGAUACCCUGGUAUCCACCCGUAAACGAUGUCGACC
This 777-nucleotide ribosomal RNA is filed under the name uncultured bacterium. Its description in RNAcentral is "bacterial SSU rRNA". It matches the Rfam family "Bacterial small subunit ribosomal RNA", at positions 43 to 817 of the family's 1533-position model. The record is from RNAcentral.